This is a long non-coding RNA of Pomacea canaliculata, 793 nucleotides long. RefSeq lists it as uncharacterized. NCBI's taxonomy places the organism in Eukaryota, Metazoa, Mollusca, Gastropoda, Architaenioglossa, Ampullariidae. The transcript has 4 exons. The record is from RefSeq and is a predicted model, not a curated record.
UAAUUUGUCCAGAAGGGUGACUCUCACAAGUGAGUAUAUCGUUAUUUCAGCCGAAACUUUUUGGGAAUGGCUGUAUGAGUAAGGCUAAAACAGAUGCCCAUGGCAGGGUUAUUCUGUAACAAACUAAUUUUCAGAUGAUGUCUAACAUGAAGUAUGCAACUAUGUACAGUAGCACCUGUCAUACAUUUAAAUGCCAUAAUGAAUGUGGAAAAUUUACAGAUGAGCUCAAACUUUUCAACUUUUCGUUACGCCUUAUCCUAUACCCAUUAACUAUUAAGGUUAUCCAGCAAUGUAUUUCCUAGUUAAUCGUUUUGUUGUGGACAAAACGUUGAGAAAUGAAGCCUGGGGUCGGUGAUUGCGUGUCUGGUGGAAGGGAGAGCACUCCAUUGCUCACUAACGGCCCGACUUCCGGUUAGCACGAGGAGCCCAGCAAAGGUCAGCGAUCCUAUUGUGGCGACAUGGGAGCCAACAAACCAGUCCAGUUUGUCAAAUCACUGUACACCGACCCAUUCCGAUGGUCAGUUGUAAAGAGUGUUGCAUUAUUUGCCCUUGCUGUGUAUGUUGCACGAGAGAUGGCAGCAGCUGAACAAGCAGCUCAGUUGUCACCAUCCUGAUGGAAGACAGAAGCCAGACAAGGAGUUCAUGACUGUAGUGCCUGGUUGGCAGCACAUCCUGAUGAACAUAGAUCUGUCAUAACAAAGUUAUUCCACCGAAUUGUACAUUUGCAAAUUUGGCCAUGCUGUUAUCACGAACAUCUUUUGGAAUUAAAAUGUUUCAUUUUGUGUAACUGUCA